CGGCGGUGCUACGAGGUCGGCGCGCAGCUCCGCUGCGGGUCGCUCGGGCGCUGUCCAGGCGGAGCCGGCCCCGCCCGGGCUGCAGCCAUGAUCAAGCGUUUCCUGGAGGACACCACGGAUGAUGGAGAACUGAGCAAGUUCGUGAAGGAUUUCUCAGGAAAUGAGAGCUGCCACCCACCAGAGGCUAAGACCCGGGCAUCCAGGCCCCAAGUCCCGGAGCCAAGGCCCCAGGCCCCGGACCUCUAUGAUGAUGACCUGGAGUUCAGACCCCCCUCGUGGCCCCAGUCCUCUGACAACCAGCAGUACUUCUGUGCCCCAGCCCCUCUCAGCCCAUCUGCCAGGCCCCGCAGCCCAUGGGGCAAGCUUGAUCCCUAUGAUUCCUCUGAGGAUGACAAGGAGUAUGUGGGCUUUGCAACCCUUCCCAACCAAGUCCACCGAAAGUCCGUGAAGAAAGGCUUUGACUUUACCCUCAUGGUGGCAGGAGAGUCUGGCCUGGGCAAAUCCACACUUGUCAAUAGCCUCUUCCUCACUGAUCUGUACCGGGACCGGAAACUCCUUGGUGCUGAAGAGCGGAUCAUGCAAACUGUGGAGAUCACUAAGCAUGCAGUGGACAUAGAAGAGAAGGGUGUGAGGCUGCGGCUCACCAUUGUGGACACACCAGGUUUUGGGGAUGCAGUCAACAACACAGAGUGCUGGAAGCCUGUGGCAGAAUACAUUGAUCAGCAGUUUGAGCAGUAUUUCCGAGAUGAGAGUGGCCUGAACCGAAAGAACAUCCAAGACAACAGGGUGCACUGCUGCCUGUACUUCAUCUCACCCUUCGGCCAUGGGCUCCGGCCAUUGGAUGUUGAAUUCAUGAAGGCCCUGCAUCAGCGGGUCAACAUCGUGCCUAUCCUGGCUAAGGCAGACACACUGACACCUCCUGAAGUGGACCGCAAGAAGCGCAAAAUCCGGGAGGAGAUUGAGCAUUUUGGAAUCAAGAUCUAUCAGUUCCCAGACUGUGACUCUGAUGAGGAUGAGGACUUCAAAUUGCAGGACCAAGCCCUAAAGGAAAGCAUCCCAUUUGCAGUAAUUGGCAGCAACACUGUAGUAGAGGCCAGAGGGCGGCGAGUUCGGGGUCGACUCUACCCCUGGGGCAUCGUGGAAGUGGAAAACCCAGGGCACUGCGACUUUGUGAAGCUGAGGACAAUGCUGGUACGUACCCACAUGCAGGACCUGAAGGAUGUGACGCGGGAGACACACUAUGAGAACUACCGGGCACAGUGCAUCCAGAGCAUGACCCGCCUGGUGGUGAAGGAACGGAAUCGCAAGUAUGACCAGAAGCCAGGACAAAGCUGGCAGGGGGAGAUCCCAAGCCUAGCCUUGGGUGAGACCAAGCCCUACUUUUGUUCUUCUAUAGGCCCUGGGCUCAAUCUAAGCGGGUGCUGGGGUCCUCCUCGCCUUAUCAACCCUUUUCUCCCUUUAGCAAACUGACUCGGGAAAGUGGUACCGACUUCCCCAUCCCUGCUGUCCCACCAGGGACAGAUCCAGAAACUGAGAAGCUUAUCCGAGAGAAAGAUGAGGAGCUGCGGCGGAUGCAGGAGAUGCUACACAAAAUACAAAAACAGAUGAAGGAGACCUAUUAACUGACUUUCAGCCCUGGAUAUUUAAAUCUCCUCCUCUUCUUCCUGUCCAUGCCGGCCCCUCCCAGCACCAGCUCUGCUCAGGCCCCUUCAGCUACUGCCACUUCGCCUUACAUCCCUGCUGACUGCCCGGAGACUCAGAGGAAAUAAAGUUUAAUAAAUCUGUAGGUGGC
RNAcentral lists this small RNA (1792 nucleotides) under Pongo abelii (Sumatran orangutan). Its description in RNAcentral is "retained intron". Lineage: Eukaryota; Metazoa; Chordata; Mammalia; Primates; Hominidae. The record is from RNAcentral.